This 438-nucleotide ribosomal RNA is filed under the name uncultured bacterium. Its description in RNAcentral is "partial 16S ribosomal RNA". It matches the Rfam family "Bacterial small subunit ribosomal RNA", at positions 339 to 795 of the family's 1533-position model. The record is from RNAcentral.
CUACGGGUUGCUGCAGUGAGGAAUAUUGCACAAUGGGGGGAACCCUGAUGCAGCAACGCCGCGUGGAGGAUGACGCAUUUCGGUGUGUAAACUCCUUUUAUAUGUCAAGAAAAUGACGGUAGCAUAUGAAUAAGCACCGGCUAACUCCGUGCCAGCAGCCGCGGUAAUACGGAGGGUGCAAGCGUUACUCGGAAUCACUGGGCGUAAAGGACGCGUAGGCGGGUUGGAAAGUCAGGUGUGAAAUCCUACAGCUUAACUGUAGAACUGCACUUGAAACUUCUAAUCUAGAGUAUGGGAGGGGAGAAGGAAUUAGUGGUGUAGGGGAAAAAUCCGUAGAUAUCACUAGGAAUACCUAAAGCGAAGGCGAUCUCCUGGAACAUUACUGACGCUAAGGCGUGAAAGCGUGGGGAGCAAACAGGAUUAGAUACCCGUGUAGUC